Molecule: long non-coding RNA, 3941 nt
Filed under: Durio zibethinus
Lineage: Eukaryota; Viridiplantae; Streptophyta; Magnoliopsida; Malvales; Malvaceae
Description: long non-coding RNA (DZIB_LNC000036)
Source: RNAcentral
AAAAAUCUAAAAAACAUGAUCUUUGAAAAGCCAAAGCCUAUAUUUGUUAGCUUCACUUUAAAAGUAAUUUUUGAAUACAAUUCAAAAAAUUUAAAAAUUACAUUUCUUAUAUAGAAACGUGAUCUUUAAAAAAUCGAAGCAUGUAUUUGAAAACGUUGUUGAUAAUUUAUGAGAGAUAAUUUUUUUGGUUUCAAAAUGUGAUUGAUAAUAAAUAAAAAGAGUUAGAUAUAAAAAUUGUUUAAGUUGCAUUUUGUAUGUUAAAAAUGUAAUUUUUGAAUCACAAAAAUCAUGUUUUUUAUAUAAAAAAUGUAAUUUUAACAAAAAAAAAAAAGCACAUUUUGAUAACAUCUUGACUCCUUCUAAGAUAAGCCACGUGUCACAGUUGGUGUUUCUUUUUUCCUUCUCUCAUUUUUUUUACAUGUGCUAGAGGUUGUGUGCAAACUUAUUUUUUUAUCUAAAAAAAUGGCAUAGAGGUGGGUGAGAGAGGAUUUCCAUUUUUUGUUCUUUUUCUUCCUUUUCUUUAUCUUACCUACUAAAGAAAGGGUUGGAUGCUUUGAGGGAAAGCAGAAAGAAGAAGAGGGAAGAAAUGAAGUGAUAGGGUGAAAAUAAAGAGAUCAAGCUAUCUUAGGCUGUUCCAAUGUAAGAGCCACUAGCGCUUGCCAUUUUUGGGUUCAUUUUUUAAAAACUUUUUGAUUAGAUACUUUUUUAGAUCUAGAUUCUUUGAGAUCAUUUUCUUUUAUGAAACGACUAAUAAUGGAAGAGUAAUGUGGUUAUGUUAGCGAUUAAAGAAUGGCAAAAUGAUCCUCAUAAUUUUAGAUAACCUCUAGUAGAAACUUAGCCUUGAAGCUGAUGAGAUCUCAUUUGAUAAUGAAGCCUCUAAAAAUUUUCAACUGCUGGAUGCAAAAUAUUGCUAACUUCUAUAAGCCUUGAAAAGGACCUGCAAUUGAACAAACAUUAUCUUGCAGUUUGGAGGAUUUGUACAAAGAGACUACCAAGAAAAUGAAGAUUUCUAGGGAUGUUUCUGAUGGUAGCGGGUAUUCUUUUACUUUCGAUUAUUUGGAUUAUAGUUUUCCUUUUUUUGCAAGUUAAUGUAAUUGGGUAAUGUGUAGUGUCUCUAUAUUAUUUUUGCUAUAGUAUUGUAUUGGGUUGGAUUCACUAGAAAGCAUAAGAGGACUAUAAAGGUGGCCGCAACCUUGAUGUUUGGUUGCCAGUGUCUGAUAUAGGUAUAGCUCUUAGAUAACUACUUUUCUAGAUUGCUACGAGUCAUUAAUUCCCAAAUUUAGAAACUAAAGUACUCUACAUAUUUCCUGAAUAAUUUCUAAUUGCUGGCUAUCUUUAAUCGAUUAGUUAUCUUAGGGGUCCAUCCCAUUUAUUUUGAAUUAGAGUGGAAAGAUAAAGUUUUGAAGUUUUGAAACGAAAUAUCAAGAAGAUCAUUUUCUAAUAUAUAUUGAUCUUUGACUUCAUCAUAGCUAUGAAGCUAUUGCAAGGCAAUAAAUUUUAGGGUACAGGUUUAGCUUUACUUCUACUUUUAGCAAAGUUUCAUUAUUUUUACAAUUCAUCUCAAAAAAAAAAAAGUUGUACUCUUACAUCUCGCCCAUUAUCAUGUAUGCAUUUAGUGGAGUUUUUAUUUUUAUUUUUACAUAUUUUUGUUUUUCAUGUUCAUUGAAUUGAAUUAUUCUUAUGUUUUUUAGUACCAUAUUCCUAUUUUUAAUUCUGUAUAUAUUCAAUGAUACAAAUUUUAAAUUAUGGAUGUAUUCUUGAUUGAGUUUAAUCUAUUUGAUAUUAUCUCAUUUUUGGAAAUCAUUGUUUUGGCAUUAUCUGUUUAUUGUUAACAUUUGAUUUAAAAUCUUGAUUCUUGACUGAUUUAUUAGAUAUCCAGAUUUGAUUUUAUCUCAUCACAUCUAAUGUUUCAAGAUUGUGUGUGAAGUGUUCAUUGAUAUCAAAUCCUUAAUAGGUAUGCAAAUAAUAACAUACAUCUAAAAGUAUGUUUUCUAUAUUGAAUUCAUGAUUAAAUGCUCAGGGUAUCAUUUUAAUUGAAAAUCAAUGUUUUGGUAUUAUCUGUUUAUGGGCAACAUGAGAUUUAAUAUCUUCGUUGAUUUGUUUUUUAAUCUUAUUAUAUCUUAUUCUAUAGGUGUCUUUUAUCUUUUAUAUACAUGAUUAGAUAUCAAAAAAUCUUUAAAAAUAUUUGCUGAAGUUCAUCAAAAUAUAGGUACUCAUGAAAUCAAAUCAAUGUCAUUCAUAUAUAAUGACAUGCAUAGAACAAAGCUUGCAAUUAAAGCCUUUCAUUGUGAUGAUGUGCAUAAAUAUGGUGUAAACACCAUAUUUUAUCUGGGGAUUUUCUUGAAAUUCAUUAAGUUUUGAAUAUUGGGCACUAAUUCAAAAGUUUUGGAUCCGAGAAUUAAAAGUCAGAAAAUCUUAAUUUUAAUUUUAAUUUUAAUUUAUUUUGUUAAUUUCAUGAAAAAAAAAAAGGGGAAAAAAGAAGUAAAAAAUAAAUAAAUAACGUGUGAAUUGGUUCCUUGAAGAUUUUGGAUUCUGAUUUUGUGAAACUUAAUGAUGGAUUAAUUUAGGAAAAUUUAAUUCCCAAUUCAAUGAAAAAAAGGAAAGAUUGUAUAAAAAUUUAAUCCUAGAAGAUUUGUCAUAGAUUCGGUAGAAUUUCAUAAUUUUCUAGUUCAAAGGUAUUGAAUCCUUAUAAAAGAGACCCAAUCUGUGAAUCAUGGAGCUGGACAGUAGCAUAUCAAUCAAGAUCAACUAGGGGCCUAUUGAAAAGCAUGAAAAAGAAUUAUCAAGCAAGAACAGGCAUCAAGCAGCAAGCAAAUUUCUUAGAAAGAUUUCGAGUCUAUUUUUCGAUAUUCUUUAGACCAGGAAUGAGCAAAUGAAAAAGUGAGUUGCUCAAUGGCUUUGGAGGCGAUAAUUUAUGGUGGAGCUUAGGGUAUGUUAACAUAAGGCUAUAGAAAAAAGGAAAGAAAUAUGGAAAAAAAAGUUGCUUAAAAACACAACACUUUGCUUGAAAAAAAAAGGAACAUUCUGGAAGUUUAAGCAAAAGAGGAAAGUUAAAAGAAGGCAAGGAUCCAACGAUUAGCACUUGGCCCAAUUAGUGGAAGCCUAACUCAAGUUUCAAGACUUGGACCAAGUUAAGAUUUAAACUGACUAGGCUAACAAUAACCUUGCCUAAGCCCAAUUUUGGUAAUUUCUUUUUUUUUCCUUGUUUCAAUUUUGUUAUUUUUAUUUUUAUCUUUAAAAUAAAAAAAAUUUUGAUAAGAUAUUUUAUAAUUUGUAUGUUUUAUUUAUGAUUUUAUUUGCAUGAUUUUUUUUAUUAUUUAUUUUUCAUGAAUUUAAUUUAAUUGUAUGUUUUUGCAUGGAUAGUGUAUAUAUAUAUAUAUAUAUAUAUAUAUAUGCACGAGUUUGAUUAUUUGCAUGAUUAUUAAUAUUUUAUUUGUGUGAUUUUUUUGCAUGAUAUUUUAAUAUUAUUGCAUGCUAAUUUAUAUUAUAUUUGCAUGAUUUUAUCUAUAUGAUUAAUAUUAUAUUUGCAUGUUUAAUCUAUUUGCAUGAUAUUUUAUAUUAUUACUUGAUAUUUUAUAUUAUUAUUUGAUAUUUUUGCACAGAUAUUUUCGUGUGAUCUUGGUAUGAUUUUAUAUUUAAUUACAUAUUUAUUUGCAUGAUUUAUAUUAUUAUUUACAUGAUUAUAUAUUUAAUUGCAUAUCUAUUUGCAUGAUUUAUAUUGUUAAUUGCAUGAUUAUAUAUUUAAUUGCAUAUCUAUUUAUUUGUGUGAUUGUAUGGUUAUUAAUAUAUUUAUUUGCACGGUUAUUUAUUAUUAUUAUUAUUGCAUGAUUUUAUAUUUAUUGUAUGAUAUGAUAUUAUAUGUUAUUGCAUGAUUAAUAUUAUAUUUGAUUGAUAUCGAAUUGCAUGUGUACAUAAUUGAAUGUUAUAUUUAAUUAUAUAAU